GAUGAACGCUGACAGAAUGCUUAACACAUGCAAGUCGACUCGAGUCUUCGGACUUGGGUGGCGCACGGGUGAGUAACGCGUAAAGAACUUGCCUCUUAGACCGGGACAACAUCUGGAAACGGAUGCUAAUACCGGAUAUUAUGGUUUUUUCGCAUGGAGGAAUCAUGAAAGCUGGAUGCGCUAAGAGAGAGCUUUGCGUCCCAUUAGCUAGUUGGUGAGGUAACGGCCCACCAAGGCAAUGAUGGGUAGCCGGCCUGAGAGGGUGAACGGCCACAAGGGGACUGAGACACGGCCCUUACUCCUACGGGAGGCAGCAGUGGGGAAUAUUGGACAAUGGACCACAAGUCUGAUCCAGCAAUUCUGUGUGCACGAUGACGUUUUUCGGAAUGUAAAGUGCUUUCAGUCGGGAAGAAGUCAGUGACGGUACCGACAGAAGAAGCGACGGCUAAAUACGUGCCAGCAGCCGCGGUAAUACGUAUGUCGCAAGCGUUAUCCGGAUUUAUUGGGCGUAAAGCGCGUCUAGGCGGCACGGAAAGUCUGAUGUGAAAAUGCGGAGCUCAACUCCGUAUGGCGUUGGAAACUGCCUUACUAGAGUACUGGAGAGGUAGGCGGAACUACAAGUGUAGAGGUGAAAUUCGUAGAUAUUUGUAGGAAUGCCGAUGGGGAAGCCAGCCUACUGGACAGAUACUGACGCUAAAGCGCGAAAGCGUGGGUAGCAAACAGG
Molecule: ribosomal RNA, 724 nt
Filed under: uncultured Fusobacterium sp.
Lineage: Bacteria; Fusobacteriati; Fusobacteriota; Fusobacteriia; Fusobacteriales; Fusobacteriaceae
Description: bacterial SSU rRNA
Rfam family: Bacterial small subunit ribosomal RNA
Source: RNAcentral